UACAAUCCAAAAUCGGACACCUUCAAGAAAUCUGUAUCCCAAGCUUUGCCGGAUGUACAACUUACUUGAUCACAGCUUCACUGCUGGGCAUCGGCUGCGACAAUGCUGAAAGACGAAUCGGCAGGGACAACUUUCACCGAAUCGCCGAUCCACUGGACGAGGCAAUGAUGCAUCGUAGAUGGGAUACAGCAAUUGGCAUGAAUCCAAUCUUGACCUAAGAGCAUGUUAUAUGACCCUUUCCCACUAAUGACAAAAAACGUGGUGGGUAAGGUCUUACUUCCAAUCAUCAAAUCAACGUAGAGUGCCCCCCGAGCUGGUGAGAUAUUCCCUUCAAAGUCUUUCAACAUCAUAUCCAUUUUCGUCAGGUCUUCUUCGCCCUUUCCAAGCUUGUGAAACAUGGCAUAUGGCAUGAUAUUUACCGCCACACCUCCAUCCACCAACAACUUGGUAACUGGCC
This 457-nucleotide long non-coding RNA is filed under the name Setaria viridis. RNAcentral describes it as "long non-coding RNA (SVIR_LNC000765)". Lineage: Eukaryota; Viridiplantae; Streptophyta; Magnoliopsida; Poales; Poaceae. The record is from RNAcentral.